AAUCCCUGCAAUUAGCGAUCCACACAGCGGUUAUAGGAGGCGAUCGAUUGCGAGAAAGAAGCGAAAAAGAAAAAAAAAAAACCUUCGCUCCCAUCCCAUAACUCCCGUACUGCGCUAGCCUACCGCCGCCUCCCGGAGCCGCUCACCGCCUCCUCGCACGCGCCCGCCGGACAGCCAGGCGCCGCCGCCAGCUCCGAGCGCGUGCCCGCCGGAGCCGCGCCCCCUACCCCGCCGCCUCCUCGCGCGCGCCCGACGCUCGCCCUACCCCGCCGGGUUCGCCAUCGGCCGGCGCCUUCUCCACCGCCGCUGCCGCCUCCUCGGGCACGUCCUCUGGAGAGCUGGGGUUGCCGUCGGCCGGUUCCUCCUCCUCGCGUGCGCCCGCCGGGGAGCCGUGAUGGGUUACGGCCCUACGCAGCACAUACUCCAGAGGAUGGAGGAUAAUAUGAUGUGCCCAAUCAAGGACCAAGAAACCAUGCUGUGAGUUGGCCAACCUCUGUUCUCCUGCAAUUACAUUUUCCUUUUUGCAGUAGAUCUUGCUUCCAAUUGAUUUUGUAGGGUAGUAGCAAUGGACAUGAACAGGCAGCAGGAUACGGUUUGCUCCAAGGAAAUUUUGCAGCACCGAAACAGUACUAUACUGGCUAGCAUCUCUUGUUUAUUUGCAUUCUGAUAUUCUUUUUAUCCUGUGGGACAGAUUGAUCUAGUCUACGAUCGAAUGCCACAAUAUAUGUCAGGCAUAUAACACAGGGGAGUGCAGAAAUCCUGUUAUUUUCACUCAAUCUGGGUUAUAGGAUUGAAAUUCAAGUAUACAAGAUUACAAGAUUGCAUAUAAUUGAAGGAUUGGAGUGAUCAAUGUCUAGAAUUCAAGCGUGCAAGACCUGCUGAGCCGUGUCACCAUUGCGUUGCAUCUGAUCUAAGUUGGCGUUCUUGGUUUAAAUUGUUGACCGGUGUCAAUGCUAAUCUUUUACCAACUUUUUACGCAGGGGCACUUCUUGGAUGCUUUGAUCUUAUGUUCGUUUAGUGCCUCUCGAUGGCUCUACAAGUUAGCCAUGUUAUUGUAAAGCACAGUAACUGCUUGAAUCAGCCCACACCACAAGACAACGAGAUGCUACAUAUAUCAGGUGCAAAUGCAGCAAAGAAUGCGGGACAAGCUUGUGGUAUAUGCAUAUGUAGCUGUUGAGCUAAUCAUAUUUCACUCAAACCGGUUCAAGUAGUCUUCCAAAUUUCUCUCUAUGCUGAAACAUUCUGCUUUAUGGUUGAGCUCACAUAUUUUGGUGACAGCAGAAUUCUGUUAUUCUGAAGCAUAAAUUUUAUGUCAUGUGUUCAACGAGUCCAAUGAUAGGACCAUAGGAGGCUACAUAAACUGAAUAAAUUGAAUGGCAUCAUAGUUAACUAUCUCCGGAUGGCGCUCCAUCCAUGCGUUCAUGUCGUUGUGCAAGUACUUAUCAUUGAGUUUCUUAGCAAUCAUGUCAACAUUUAGCUAUGCUGGCAACCAUGGUUGUGUACUUGUGUUAGCCUGUAAUGUAAAGAUUCAUUUCCUUUUCAUCUGAAUCAACAUGAUCAACUCUUGGGUAGAUUCUUUGUCAAAUGUACAUAUGAUUGGAGGGACCAUGUGUGAUUUAUCAUUCAAUCAGACUAGCAAGAUGUUGGUCAGUUA
This is a non-coding RNA of Oryza sativa Japonica Group (Japanese rice), 1654 nucleotides long. The record is from RefSeq and is a predicted model, not a curated record. Lineage: Eukaryota; Viridiplantae; Streptophyta; Magnoliopsida; Poales; Poaceae.